This 29-nucleotide non-coding RNA is filed under the name Homo sapiens (human). Lineage: Eukaryota; Metazoa; Chordata; Mammalia; Primates; Hominidae. The record is from RNAcentral.
GCAAAUGUUUAUGAGUGAUGACCAUGUGC